AAUUUCUUUCUUCAUUCUCAUAAAACAGAGCAAAUGCAUCAACAUAUAUACUCAUAAAAGGUUAGAAUCUAUAUUCUUAUACUUUGUUUUCAUCCGGCCAUCAAUCGAUACUGAUUUUCUUGUUCUUAUACAGAUUGAUUUGUUUGUUGAUAGAUUUAUUGAUUCCUAUAUAAGAUCGGCUAUCAAUAUCCUCGAUUGAGAAAUUCACGGGUUCUUGCAUUCUCUAUAAGUUUUCUUUGUCUGUGUCUUUCUCUGAUCUGUUCGUCUUCCUCGAUAUCCAUAAUCAUCAAAGGUAAAAAAAAUAAGAUACAAAUCUAGAUUGAAAUACAGAUUUAUGUUGAUACAAAAUUGUUGAAUUUGAUACUCGAGCUAUCGAGUAAAGGUUGGACUAUCAAUCGUUUAUAUUUUUUUCCGGUAAAAAGUAUCGUCAUUCUUUUUAACAAUUUUAAAUUUUGUUCUCUGAUCAAGAUAGUUAGAUUGCUAUCAGUUUUAAUUGAACUUGAACUACUGUAUAUUCUUAUGGUCUUUGGUUUUUGUUUUAUUUUGUAGUAUCCUAAUAAAACGGGAGAAGCAUAAACGGGAGAAGCAUCAUGUAGAUACACAGAAGCAAUUCAGGAAUUUUCCAUGGCCACAAUGUCUUGCAUCAAAAUAUAAAGUAAGUUGUCUGGCAAAUUUAUAUUACUUUUAGAAGGUUUAAGUGGAACUGUAAAUGGUAGAUAGGUUUUUCCCUGGAGAAUGUUUGAUGUGAUGUAAUGUAUGUACUGUUUUAAAUGAAAAUUAUCAAGC
This 786-nucleotide long non-coding RNA is filed under the name Brassica napus (rape). RNAcentral describes it as "long non-coding RNA (BNAP_LNC009085)". The record is from RNAcentral. Lineage: Eukaryota; Viridiplantae; Streptophyta; Magnoliopsida; Brassicales; Brassicaceae.